AAUUGAAAGUGCUGCAUUAAUUCUGGUAACUAAUUUUUUGAUUGGAUUCGAUCAACAAUUACCUAACUGCAUCUGCAAAUUUAUUCACUCUAUAGGUUGGACAAAGUUACAUCAGAGAUAAAUGUUACCAAGGAAUAACUCGAGGGAUAUCAUACGUGACAACUUGAUACUUGAUAAAUUUGGUAGUUACAACACAAAAGUGAGCCAGUAAUGCUUAAGGCUUGGCACAAAUUGCAGCAAAUG
Molecule: long non-coding RNA, 243 nt
Organism: Erigeron canadensis
Lineage: Eukaryota; Viridiplantae; Streptophyta; Magnoliopsida; Asterales; Asteraceae
Exons: 4
Source: RefSeq, a predicted model, not a curated record